GGGGACAAAGUGACAGGUGGUGCAUGGUUGUCGUCAGCUCGUGUCGUGAGAUGUUGGGUUAAGUCCCGCAACGAGCGCAACCCUUAAGCUUAGUUGCCAUCAUUAAGUUGGGCACUCUAAGUUGACUGCCGGUGACAAACCGGAGGAAGGUGGGGAUGACGUCAAAUCAUCAUGCCCCUUAUGAUUUGGGCUACACACGUGCUACAAUGGACAAUACAAAGGGCAGCGAAACCGCGAGGUCAAGCAAAUCCCAUAAAGUUGUUCUCAGUUCGGAUUGUAGUCUGCAACUCGACUACAUGAAGCUGGAAUCGCUAGUAAUCGUAGAUCAGCAUGCUACGGUGAAUACGUUCCCGGGUCUUGUACACACCGCCCGUCACACCACGAGAGUUUGUAACACCCGAAGCCGGUGGAGUAACCUUUUAGGAGCUAGCCGUCGAAGGUGGGACAAAUGAUUGGGGUGAAGUCGUAACAAGGUAGCCGUAUCGGAAGGUGCGGCUGGAUCACCUCCUUUCUAAGGA
This 518-nucleotide ribosomal RNA is filed under the name Staphylococcus aureus. RNAcentral describes it as "bacterial SSU rRNA". It matches the Rfam family "Bacterial small subunit ribosomal RNA", at positions 1022 to 1533 of the family's 1533-position model. Lineage: Bacteria; Bacillati; Bacillota; Bacilli; Caryophanales; Staphylococcaceae. The record is from RNAcentral.